AUAUUUGUAUUGAUCAGCUAUAUUUCCCAUGCAUUGACAGAGCUUCACCUUGAAUUAAUCGAUGGUCUUUUGGUUAACUUGUUUACGUAUACAUGAUAUAUGUGUAAGGCUUAUGACUAGUGAUGGCGCAGGUGUUGGCUGUCCCAGGAGAUGUAAGACAUGGAUUUAUUUACAAGGGAAAAUUCAACCAUGAAUUCGGACGAAUUACUGGGAUAGCAGCGACAACAAAGGCGAACAUUUUAGUAUGUGACUACGAUAAUAAGAAUCUUAUUUUAUUUGCUCCCACUGGAACUCAUUUCAGGACUCUUAACCUAGACAGUGAGCCAUUUGAUUUGGCUAUUACAAGUCAAAACAUAGGAUAUGUUACUCAACCUAACACUAGAACAGUAUUACAAAUAGACCCGGACCGAAUGGUUAUACUCAAUAAAGUAACAAGCAACGAUUUAUUUUCUACUGUGGUGUGUGCGUCAGCAGUCCCAAACUCUGGGAGGGACAUUCAGAAUAAAGUUCCGUGUUAUCUUGGCGUUAGAGUAAAUGGUUCUUUAUUCAUUUGUCCAGUCAAUGAUUAUGACAUUAUUCUCACAGAUAUACCUGCAAUCCAACAGUCAGACGGAACACUUGCUGAUCCCCGUAUUGUAAAGUUCCAUGCAGCUAAUACCGGUGCCAUUUACUCUUGUAUAGGCGGUCAGAGCUAUAUCAACAUUAAGAAACCCGGAUACCUUAAUUCAUAUGCUAAUUUUACCAUCAAAACUAUGGAUACGCCUACUGAUAUAUGUUCUGAUAACAAUGGACACGUCUAUGUCAGUGGCCAGUGUUCGAACAACAUACACCGACUGACCCAGAACGGCAAAGUUUUAGAUAUACCAUUAGACAGUCAACAUGGUAUCAUACAACCAGUUGCCUUAUGUUUCAACAAAAACUGUACUAAAUUAUAUAUUGUCAUUAAUUGGGGAAAAUGUGUUUUGGUUUUUGAUGUUAUUUGAUAAACGAACAUAAAUAAAAGUUGAUAUUCAGUUUUA
Long non-coding RNA from Mytilus californianus (California mussel), 1019 nucleotides. RefSeq lists it as uncharacterized. Lineage: Eukaryota; Metazoa; Mollusca; Bivalvia; Mytilida; Mytilidae. The transcript is spliced from 3 exons. The record is from RefSeq and is a predicted model, not a curated record.